RNAcentral lists this ribosomal RNA (413 nucleotides) under Bacillus sp. (in: firmicutes). Its description in RNAcentral is "bacterial SSU rRNA". It matches the Rfam family "Bacterial small subunit ribosomal RNA", at positions 624 to 1033 of the family's 1533-position model. The record is from RNAcentral. Lineage: Bacteria; Bacillati; Bacillota; Bacilli; Caryophanales; Bacillaceae.
UCAUGGAAACUGGGGGACUUGAGUGCAGAGAGAAAGCGGAAUUUCACGUGUAGCGGUGAAAUGCGUAGAGAUGUGGAGGAACACCAGUGGCGAAGGCGGCUUUCUGGUCUGUAACUGACGCUGAGGCGCGAAAAGCGUGGGGGAGCAAACAGGAUUAGAUACCCUGGUAGUCCACGCCGUAAACGAUGAGUGCUAAGUGUUAGAGGGUUUCCGCCCUUUAGUGCUGCAGCUAACGCAUUAAGCACUCCGCCUGGGGAGUACGGCCGCAAGGCUGAAACUCAAAGGAAUUGACGGGGGCCCGCACAAGCGGUGGAGCAUGUGGUUUAAUUCGAAGCAACGCGAAGAACCUUACCAGGUCUUGACAUCCUCUGACACUCCUAGAGAUAGGACGUUCCCCUUCGGGGGACAGAGUG